GUGUAAGCGCAGCGAUGCGUUGAGCUAACCGGUACUAAUGAACCGUGAGGCUUAACCUUACAACGCCGAAG
Molecule: ribosomal RNA, 71 nt
Filed under: Escherichia coli
Lineage: Bacteria; Pseudomonadati; Pseudomonadota; Gammaproteobacteria; Enterobacterales; Enterobacteriaceae
Also listed under: 18 other names
Description: partial 23S ribosomal RNA
Source: RNAcentral